AUGAACGCCCGCAGGAGCGCCAACGCCACCAGACCGCCGUCCCGCGAGCAAGCUCCUCCGCCCCGAGCUCCGUUCGCGCUGUCGUUUGCUCGGAUCCGGUGCCGGCCGACCGGAUCCACCCGGCUUCACUGUUCCCGGCGCUGUCGGAGCCAUGCUUCAAGUCCCCGACGCCAAGCUCUGUCGCCGCCGGCUUCGACCUCCUCCCUCGCGCGGCUCCUUCCCUGCCUCCACCGCGAGCCCACCAUGGCGCUGCUGCUAUGCUUGCUGCCGCACCUCCCGCUGGCCCCUGCUGAUGCCAUGGCAGCCUCUGUUCGUUGA
RNAcentral lists this ribosomal RNA (318 nucleotides) under Triticum aestivum (bread wheat). Its description in RNAcentral is "partial small subunit ribosomal RNA". Lineage: Eukaryota; Viridiplantae; Streptophyta; Magnoliopsida; Poales; Poaceae. The record is from RNAcentral.